GACGAACGCUGGCGGCGUGCUUAACACAUGCAAGUCGAACGGAAAGGCCCUGCUUUUGUGGGGUGCUCGAGUGGCGAACGGGUGAGUAACACGUGAGUAACCUGCCCUUGACUUUGGGAUAACUUCAGGAAACUGGGGCUAAUACCGGAUAGGAGCUCCUGCUGCAUGGUGGGGGCUGGAAAGUUUCGGCGGUUGGGGAUGGACUCGCGGCUUAUCAGCUUGUUGGUGGGGUAGUGGCUUACCAAGGCUUUGACGGGUAGCCGGCCUGAGAGGGUGGCCGGCCACAUUGGGACUGAGAUACGGCCCAGACUCCUACGGGAGGCAGCAGUGGGGAAUAUUGCACAAUGGGCGGAAGCCUGAUGCAGCAACGCCGCGUGCGGGAUGACGGCCUUCGGGUUGUAAACCGCUUUCGCCUGUGACGAAGCGUGAGUGACGGUAAUGGGUAAAGAAGCACCGGCUAACUACGUG
Molecule: ribosomal RNA, 468 nt
Filed under: uncultured bacterium
Lineage: Bacteria
Description: partial 16S ribosomal RNA
Rfam family: Bacterial small subunit ribosomal RNA
Source: RNAcentral